UGGAUAUAUGCGUUUUAUGUUUUGAUACACAUUGGUAAAUUACUAUCUAAGAAUGUUGUACAGCAAACCCUUCUAAAAUAGUUAUACCAACUUAAUUCCUCAGACCUUUCACAGGAUAGAUAUUAUCAAUGAUACCAUUGAUCAUUUUAAGUCUUUCUCAAUUGAUACAUAAUAUGCCUCUUCAUUCGUGUUUAUAUUGAGUUUAAUUAUUUAUGAGACUGAGAAUAUCCUACAUAUUUAUUACACAUUAGAGUUUCUUCUUAUACAACUUCAUUACUCAUGUCCCUUGUCACUUCCUCCACGUGAUCAAAGGGCUUUGCUUUAGUGAUCUGUAAGAAUGCUUAAAUAAAUGUUAAUGGAAGUACACAUUUUUCAUUUGGAUUAAUCUUUAAUUGUGGUGCUUUUGUCAUGGAAUUUAUUGCCUCCUGCUUUAUUAUUAUUUGUCUGUAAUAGUUUGUCCUUCCAAUUUCCAUUUUGUCCUUCAUUCUUCCUUUAGAUGUCACCUGGGUGUAUAUGUGGUAGAGGAUAUGGGAUGUGGGCCAGGUGGCUCACACGAAAUUUUGUGGCAGUGAAUAGGGAACCAAAAUCCUGGAUCCUGAAACCUAGCUGGGGCUUCUCUAUACAUUGACCUCUGCUGUAACUGUAUCUAUUUUUAAUGAAAUGGACUCCGCCUAGAUUCGGGCACUGAGGAUAUUUACUGCUGCUGACUGCCAGCCUUGCCAUUUCUUCCUAUCUGGAAUGAUAGCCUUUCCAUUUUUUUUUCCUUUCCAGUUGGGAUAGACUUUACAUCCCAUCUGCCUUCAAUUGCUCAAGGAAAAUUGGUGCAUUUGAGAUAGAAUGCAGAGGGCUUGGUGAGAGAUGAUAGCAUGUGGGAUAGAGUAGUCAAUGCAGAGACAGCAGUAAGUGGGUGUAAGACAGAGUUAUUAGGGAAUGAGCACCUGGAAUAUGAUACUUGUUUGGAAGAUGAGUAAGAUGAUAGUGUGUGAAAGAAUACGAUUGAGAUAAUUUCAAGGCUUCUAGAUUGAGAAACUGUGUUAUGCUAUCAUUUGCUGAGUUGGAAAACGUUAUAGGAGAAACAGAUUUGGAGCAAUGGAAAGAGAAAUAGGGGAGUUUGGAAUAGGCUGAAUUGGAUGCACCUGUGGGGUUUCUAAGAUGGCAGGCAUUGGGUAACUAGUUCCAACCUGAGGAGAGAGGAUUAUCUUCAAAAUUAUAAACAUCAGAAUCUUCAACAGAGGAGUCACAAAGUCAUGGCAUUUGGGGUUAUCACCCAGGUGGAGUUCGUUGACCUAGAAAGCAGCAGACACAGAUAGAGCACUACAGACUACCAACAUUCAAGAACAGGUAGAAAGAAAAAUGAGAGACACCUGAAGUUGGAGAAAAAGAUUUGUGUAUCAUGUCAUAAAUAGAAGAAAUUUAGAGGAAGAGCCCAACUGUUCCAGUGAAGUCUCACAAGAAUGAGUCAUUAUAUAGAUUAGACAGGGGCAAGAAUGCUGUGGUAAAACUCUACCCAGAGACUGGCCUCCCCCUGCUGGGGUGUCUUCUGUGAGGAGAGGAGGGUUCUCUUCUUUCCUUGAGGCCAACCUGACAUAGGAAGUUAUUGAAGAGUGUCUUUUCUUGGAAAUUUUCCAAUUGGGAAUAUCUGAAGGCAGAGUAAGCCACCUAAACCUUAGUCUUUAGGGAAGAAUAUUGUUCUCCUCUUUAUGUUGGUGAACUUUCUACAAUACUGAUGAGAACCAGGCCAGAACCAGUUCUAUUGUGGAGAAGGAGCAAAAAGGAAAAGGGACUGGGUGGUCUACUUUAGUGCUAGACAUUGAGCCUGCCUUUGUUCAACCCCUUGAGACCCCACCGUUGUUAUUACAGUUCACCAGGGCUGGGACUUCACAAUGAACUUUGUUCCAAAUCCCUAACUAGUCAUUGUCUCUCCACCUAAUAGUAUUUUGGGCACCUAUUUUCCUGGAAAACUUUCUGGAUUGCUGGUAACUAGGCAGGUCUAAAAUUAUAUGACUGGAAUUAUGUGAAUUGAGUCUCUGGGAAAAAAAUUAUUUUGAUACUGCUUCUAUUAUGACUUAAAAUUGUAACAAAUGACAGGUAUUAUUAAUAAAGAGAAGAGACAAGAGAUAGUUUAUCACUUUACAGAGCUGAAAGUGAGAUGAUAAUAUUGAAGAAGGCUCAGAGGUGGAUGUCUGUAGAUCACUGUAACCAUAAGCCAUGAAAUUUUUAUUUUCAGUCUGUGAGACAUAUCCAAUCCAAGACUCUGAUGGCCACAUUCAACUUGAGCGGCUUCAACCCGGGCCCACUCAUCCUACUGGGAAUCCCGGGGCUGGAGGAAUUUCAUGUCUGGAUAGGGAUUCUCUUCUUUAUUAUCUACCUUGUGGCCCUUGCAGGCAACAGCGUCCUUCUCUACCUUAUUUCCAUGGAGCGCAGCCUUCAUGAGCCCAUGUUCUUUUUCCUCUCCAUGCUGGCUGCUACAGAUAUCAUCCUGUCUAAUACAUGUGUACCCAAAGCAUUCAGCAUCUUCUGGCUAGGUCCUCAGGAAAUCACCUUUCCUGCGUGCCUUACUCAGAUGUUCUUUCUCCACUACAGCUUUGCUAUGGAUUCUGCCAUUCUGCUGGCUAUGGCAUUUGAUCGCUAUGUUGCUAUUUGCUUCCCGCUAAGAUAUACCACUAUUCUCACCCGUCAGAUUAUCACUAAGAUUGUAAUGGCUAUUGUCAGCAGGAGCUUUUGUAUCAUCUUCCCAUGUGUGUUCCUAGUAAAGCGACUGCCUUUUUGCCGAACACUCAUCAUUCCACACACAUACUGUGAGCACAUAGGUGUUGCCCAACUCGCCUGUGCGGACAUCUCCAUCAACAUCUGGUAUGGUUUUGCUGUACCUGUAAUGACUGUAACAUCAGACCUGAUCCUUAUUGGCAUCUCCUACACUCUCAUCCUUCGUGCCAUCUUUAACCUUCCAUCCCGAGAUGCCCGCCAGAAAGCCCUCAACACGUGUGGUUCCCAUGUUUGUGUCAUUCUUAUAUUCUAUACACCAGCCCUGUUCUCUGUCCUCACCCACCGUUUUGGUCACAAUAUUCCUCGCUCCUUCCACAUACUGGCUGCCAACCUCUAUGUAGCCAUCCCUCCUGCACUCAACCCAAUCGUCUAUGGGGUGAAGACAAAGCAGAUCCGGCAAAAAAUCAUCUUAUCCUUCUUCCCUCAAUGGAACCAGUGACAUGAGACUGAGAGCUUGGGAAAGGAAACAGGUAAUUAUGUUGACUUUGGAAUGCAUUUCAUUUUUUUACAGCUAAAAUAUCUACAAUGGUGAUUUAAAUACACACGAAAUGCUAAAACUCCUCCAUGUGUUGGAGGAAUCAAUAAGACAAGGUAAAGAGGUAGAUGUCAAGAAAGGCAACAAAAAAAAGUUGAAGAAGAUAUGUCUGCUUGAAAAGAUAGAUCAGAGGGAAAUUUCUAUUUCAUUUUAAAAUAGAUUUCCAAGACUUAUGGGAUAGAAUAUUGAUCGUAUAUAAUGUGGAUUAAAAAAAUAGAAUAUUAUUCUUAAUUAACAGGUUAAAAGAGAUGACUGAAAGUCUAACAAUUUGAGAUAUCUUUGUGAUACUUUCCAGAUGAAAGUUGGUAAAGCUAACAGCAAAUGAUUACCCUUCUUAGGAAUCAUCCAGGAAGAUUAAUCAUCUAAAAGCAUGGUUCUCAAACAUUGAUGAGUAUCAAAAUCACCUGGGGAGUGUGGUAGAAAUGCAAAGUCCCAGAUUCUAUCCUACUUCAAUGGGCCUCUGUGAACAGUUCUCUAGGUGAUUCUGAUACCUAAGAAAUCUUGGAUCCUUUCAAAUCAGAAAAGUCCUGGUCCUUUGAAAUACCCAUAGACUUGGUUCUUUUAGUAAUUUCCUGGGCUUGGAAGUAACAUAGCUCUCUUUUAUGCUCCCCAUAACUGCUUUUUGCUUAGUAUUGUAUUAGUGAUCCAUCUUAAAAUUCAAUAACUGCAAAUAUUAUAUCACCAAAACAUAUCAGUUAUCUCUACUUAUUGUAGUCUUUGAAGGAUUUCACUUCUGUCACAAAAAAUUCUUGUCAUGACUGUUGGUGAUUUUAAUGAACAAAGAGAUGACCCAUGAGUAACUUUGUGUGAUAUUCUCUAAAGAUAGCCACAGUACUAUAUUUCAUCUCCCAUGCUUUUCUGCAGUGUGAACUUGCCAUUCCCACAUUACAGUUGGAGUCUAAUUCUACUUAUCUUGAAUCUGUGUUAAACAUAGGGGUUCCUUGAGAAAUAGAAUUCAGUGAAAGUGACAUUCUGAGCCUUCUGAGGUUAGACCACAGAAGUCUUUGCAGUUUCCACUUGGGUCUCUUGAAAUGAUUUAUCUUGGUAUGCUCUCUCUUGGAACCCAAACGCUGAGCUACAAGUAUCCCAAGCAGAUGGAGAAGCCAUGUCUAAAUAUUCUGGUGGACGACCCCAGUAGAGACCCCAGCCAACAGUCCGCAACAAUUACCAGUCAUGUUGGUAAGGUAUCUUGAGUCUUCAGGUAUCUGUAGGCUCAAUGGGCUUCUCUCUGUAAUGUAUGAGAGACUCAAAGAGAGAACUACCCAACUAUUUGAAGCUAAGUCAUAGAACCACUAGAAGUAAUAAUUCGUUGUUUUUAGCUAAUAAACUUGGGGAUGGUUAGUUAUGCAACAAUAGAUAAAUGAUGCAGCAAUUGGUAACAGAAAGUGGGGUGCUUGUGUAGCAAAACCUAAAACAUGUAGCAUUAGUUUUGUCAUAGGCAGCAAGCAAAAGCUGAAAAGGCCUUGAAGAAGCUGUUAAUGGAGGUCAAAGACAGUGAGAAAUUAUUGUUCGAGGCUGGAGGAAUACAUAUAGGUACAACGUGGUUGUAGGAAGUUUGAAAUACCAUAACUUAGAAAGCAGAAAAAUACCUAAUUGACAUUCGGCCAAGGAGAUUUUGAAGCAGAAUACUGAAAAUAUCAACAUUAUUUUUAUGCCACAGAUGGUAAGGUACAGAAAGAUAUAAACUAAAGUGAAAUUAUUCAGUGUUCAAGCAUAACUUAGAGUAAAUACAAAGGAGUCAUGGCUGGCUGAAAUCAAAUAAAAAAGAAAUCUACACCCCCAGCCUCUCCAAAUGACAAAAGACUCUCGAAAGAAAAAACAAAAAACAAAAACUGUCCUCAGGGUGUAAUAUUACCUCUAGGAUGAGACUAUAAAGUCCUUUGCUAAGAGUAAAGAAAUAUUUAAGGGUAUGCCUAAUUAAUCUUUGCAAUUAGAUGAAGAAGCUUCUAGGAAUCUUAAGGAUAUUUUCCUAGAGAACCAUAAUUCUCAGGCAAAAUCAGACAGGGGACAGACUAGAAGAUAUUUGUGGUAUAAUUUUUGUCUAAUGGAAUGAACCCUAAAGGAUUCAUAAAGAACCAAAAUUUUUAAGAGAAAUGUACAGAGGCGAGCACCAUCAGCUUCGACUAAAAGGGACAGCGUUAAUGCAAAAUGAAAAGGUGACUUUGGGUCUCCAAUUUCAUUAAGCAGGAAGCAGAUGAAGAAAAGUACUCAGAUGUAAACACAGGGCACUACUCAAUGGGAGGCAAAGAUGACACAGAAUAUAAAGCCAAUUGGCCAGAGGUUAGACAAAAGCCAUGGAAAAUCAUUCACAGGGAGAUGAUUGGGUCCUUAUUAAGAAACCGGUGGUAUUCAUCUUCGGCUGGAUUUUAGAAACUGUAAUGGACUAGUGACUGUACUAUGACUCUCCCAAUAUUUUACAUAUGAGUACCAAUUGCAGCUCUCCAUCUCAGCAUCACCAGAGUGUGCUGGCUGUGUAGAUGGCAGAUUUCUUUCUCAUUUCUUUAUUUCACAGGUCUUCAGAUUGAAAGGAAGUGCAUUCAGGGAUCUGCAUACAAGGAACUGAACCGAAGGAGCCUUAUUCACGCUUCGUCCUGAUUUAGACGCUGAGAUCCUGGACUUUGAACUAGUCCCAUAAUGGGAAUGAGACCUUAGGAUUUUAGGGAAGAGAUAUUUGCAUUUUUGGACACUCUCCCUAGAACACAGCCACCAUACUGUGAGAAUCCCAGACUGCAUGGACAGUUCAUGUGCUUAACAGCCUGGCUGAGCUACUGGGUAGCAGCCAGAAUUAAUUGCAUCAGCUGCUUAGAAGCAACCACAGCUCCAUCCACAAUCUGAUUGCGGCCACCUGAGAGAAAGAGAGGAGAGACCCCAAAUGACAGCUGCCCAUGUGAUCCCAGGAGAUCUACAGAAUCAUGAGAUAAUAAUACAUUAUUUGAAACCACUACUUUUGGGGGUAGU
This is an RNA transcript of Ailuropoda melanoleuca (giant panda), 6259 nucleotides long. It is a transcript of the gene named olfactory receptor 52H1, with no coding region annotated. Lineage: Eukaryota; Metazoa; Chordata; Mammalia; Carnivora; Ursidae. The record is from RefSeq and is a predicted model, not a curated record. The transcript is spliced from 2 exons.